This 3173-nucleotide long non-coding RNA is filed under the name Sus scrofa (pig). Its description in RNAcentral is "lncRNA (ENSSSCG00050028537.1)". Lineage: Eukaryota; Metazoa; Chordata; Mammalia; Artiodactyla; Suidae. The record is from RNAcentral.
UUUUUUUUUUUUUUUUUUUGGUUGGAUGGUCUCCUGUUAUUAUCUGCUUGAGUGUUUUUUUUUUUUCAUUUUUUGCAAAUGCAAUAUUUGGUUUUGGCUUGUGGUUGCCCUGUUUUUUAAGUAUGCUAACCCCUUCCCAUAAUUGUGUGUUUUAGCCUGAUGGUCCUGUAAGUUCAAACACUUCAUUACUAUAUUAAAAUUAAGAAGAGAGACAUACAUACAAACAAAAAGGGUUAUUUACCUCCUAACAUCCCUUGCCCACAUUUUAUGGUUUUGAUGACUCUUUUUUAUUUUUUUCUUUUUAAUUUUAUUUUGUUUGAAGCAUGUUCAUGAUUAAAUCUGUAUGCUGGCUUAUUUGAGUGACUGCUCUCUGAUUGUAUCUUCCUCAGUCCUAGUUCUUCUUCUUCUUCUUCUUCUUUUUUUUUUUUUUUUCUUUUCUUUUUUCUUCCCUUUCCUUCCUUUCUUUUUGGUUUAGAGAAGCCCUUUCAAUAUUUCCUUUAACCUGGGUUUUGUGUUGCUGUAUUCUUUAAGUUUUUGUUUGUUGGGAAAAAUUUUUAUUUCCCCUUCUAUUUUAAAUGAUAUUCUUGCUGGAUAGAGUAUUCUAGGUUGCAUAUUUUUUCCUUUGAGCACUUUAAAUAUCUCUUGCCAUUCCCUCCUGGCCUGUAGUGUUUCUGUAGAGAAAUCAGCUGAUAUUCUUAUGGGGGUUCCCUUGUAGGUAACAUUCUGUUUUUCUCUUGCUGCCUUUAGGAUCCUCUCUUUAUCACUAACUUUUGCCAUUUUUAUUAUGAUGUGUCUUGGUGUGGGUCUGUUUGGGUUCAGUUUGUUUGGGGCCCUCUGUGCUUCUUGUAUCUUGAAUCCAGUAUCCUUUAGAUUUGGGAAGUUUCCAGCGAUAAUUUCUUCAAAUAUAUUUUCCAUUCCCUUAUCUUUUUCUACUCCUUCUGGAAUUCCUAUUAUGCGUAGAUUGGCCCGCUUUAUAUUAUCCCAUAGGUCUCUUAUAUUGCUUUCCAGUUUUUUGAUUCGGUUUUCUGUCUGUUGACCAGAUUGAGUGAUUUCCAUUAUUCUAUCUUCCAUAUCACUGAUUCGUUCUUCUGCAUUAUUCAUUCUGGUUUUUACUGCCCCUAGUUCAGUUUGCAUCUCUGCAAAUGAAUGUUCUAGUUUUUCUUGGCUCCUCCUUAUAUUUUCUAGUUCCUUUCUGAGGGUAUCUGCAUUACUGUUCAUAUCUUCUCUUAAUUCCUUCAGUAUUUUCACUAUUUCUCUUUUGAACUCCAGGUCUGUCUGACUGCAGAGAUCUGUUUCAUUGUUGACUGUUUUAGGUGAGUUCUCCUGUUGGUUUGACUGGGGGUGGUUUCUCAGCUUCUUCAUCUUGCUUGUUGUUUUCUUUCUCCUGAGGGAGUUGUACUCUCCGUUAUCGGGCAGUGUUUGCCUUGUCACUGCCGUGGAAUAUUUCCUGAGGGCUGGCGUUGUUGGUCAAUCUUUUUUGAGGCAGUGUGGCUUUUCUGGAGUGUUGGCAGAGCUAACAGGGUCUCUCUGAUGCAAAGGAGGACUUCCUGAGGGCAGACAGGACUGGGAGGUCCACACCACGAUGGUAGCAGAUUCACUUGGUCAUGCAGAGCUUGCUCUGGUGUUUUUAGGCUGUGGGGUUCUUGUAGGGGUUUGGCGGUGUUGGGCAGCUGUUUCUCUGGAGUGCAGCACCCCCUGGGGACUGGAGCAGCUAUCUGGGUCACUGAGAACCUAAGAGGCUCUUCCCUAGGGCAGCCCAACUCAGAAGGACUGUCUGAGAAUGUAGGCGGAUCUUUUCACAGUCUGGCCAAGCUUGUUGUAGCUUUUCUGGGCUGCAGGGGCUCUUCCAGGGGGCUGGUGGUGCUGAGCAGCUAUUCUGCAGGAGUGGGGCACCCCCUGAGUGCUUGGGUGGCUAGCAGGACCGCUGAAAACCCAAGAGGCUCCUCCCCAUGGCAGCCCGAUUCAGAAAGACUAUCUGAGAUCUUUUCCCGGCUCGGCCAAGCUUGUUGCAGUUUUUCUGGGCUGCAGGGGGUCCUGCCUGGAGCUGGCAGUCCUAUGCAGCUGAUCCACUAUUUCUCAGCACCCCCUGGGGGCUUUGGCGGGUAGCAGGGCCACUGAGAACCCAGGAGGCUCCUCUCUGGGGCAGCCUGACUCAGAAAAACCGUCCAAGAAUUAGGUAGAUCUAUUCAUGGCCUGGCUAGGCUUGUUCUAGCUUUUUUGGGCUGCAGGCCUUUCUCGGGGGCUAGUGGUGUUUGGUGAUGCUCUGUGGAAUUGUAGCCCCUCAAAGGGCAAGCAGGCCUGUGAAGGGACAGCCCCUGCGGUUGUAGGCUUCAGGCAAUUGUUGAGGCCAGCCCUCCUGGAUGGCAGGCAGCCCCAGGUCCGGCGAGAGCGUAGGGGGUGGCAGGGGUGGGGGGAGGGGAUGCACUGGGAAGCACAGCUUUCUGCUAGCUAGCGGGCCUGUAAGCUUGCUGUGGCAUGGGGGGUAUUCUAUGGGGACCCACCCCUUCUUCUCUCCCCUCCCCAGCACGGGCGCAGACCAGGCUCUUCUCCCAGGUUCCCUCUGAUGCGGCUUUCCAAUUCCCUGCUCCUAGCGUAUUGCUCCCUUCCUCUGCGACAGCUUUGUUUUCUAGUCUUCCAUGCAGUCUCCGAUCCGCCCCUCCUCCCCAGCCUGUUCUCGGGGACUAACCUCUGGAGCCGAGGUCUCGUGCCCAGCCCCCACCCAGGCGUCCCCCGGCCCUUUCCUGGGGACUAACCUCUGGAGCCGAGGUCUCGGUGCCCAGCCCCCGCCCAGGUUUCACCCGUCCCUUUCCUGGGGACUAACCUCUGGAGCCGAGGUCUCGGUGCCCAGCCCCCACUCAGGCAUCUCAAUUUUUGGUGACUGUGCCCGUAGUUCAGAUGGUCUGUUUGGUUCUUGAUUGGCUUUUCAGUACUCCAACUUAUUGCUACACUCUUCUCUGCAUCUGGAGAUUCCUCCGGUUCGUUUGAGCUUUCCCCCGAGUAGGUGACUUUCCAGGGGGCGGGAUCCCUUUCUCCUCCGCAGUUCCCUUUCGGGAACGCCCGUCCCACUCGGAUUUCCCUUCUCUCACUCUCCUCUUUUCUCCCGUUCUGCCCAAUAAUGUCAUGAUCUUCUUGCCGUUAUUGGAGUUUAGGUUCCUCUGCCAGCGCUUGGUUGC